CAUGAUACUUUCUAGUUUCCUUUAGGGUUUUGUUUAGCGUUGUCAUUAAUUUUGCCUUUUGUUUUGUACUUAUUCAUCAUCCACAAUAAAUAUAUCGCUUUCUGUUAAAAGUUUUAGUUUUGCAUUUGGGUCCUCUUCCUCACUCCAUACUCUUGGCGAAGGCAGUCACACUUUUCUCCUCUCCCUUCAUUUAUCUUCCCUGCCUAGCUUCUUGUGUCCUUGUCUAGUCUUGUGUAUUUUCCUGUUGCUUGUCAUGUGUUUCUAUGGUGUAUUAAGAGUUUUUCCAUGUUCACUCACCAUUUUCUGUUCUCAAACUGAUCUCCCUGUUGGAGUUCAGUCUGGGGGGAGUUCUUUUUUUCUCCUUGUCUUUCCUGAUGUUGUUUAUUUUCUAUUGUUCGGUUCCAGGUUGCUGCUCCUGUGGAUGACCGACGAGCUACCUAGCCUGACCUGUCUCCCCAAUGUGAUGUUUGUGUAUUGUAUGUACGGUCAGCAAGGUCAGUCUCUCAAUUGACACUCAGGGAUAAAUAAAGUCUUCUGAAUCUGAGUACAGUCUGCCUCAGCCAGACUGUGACACGUCCUUCAUGUACCCAGCACAUUUGUUAGCACCUCAGGCACUGAUCAUGUAUGAUGUAUUUGGAUGCAUGAUGUAAACUUUAACUUUCUAGCUGACUCAGUUGUGCCAGCAGGAAAGUGGGUCAAUAAACCAGCAUCCUGUGGUUUCUCAUGCAGGAUUACAGGAGCCAGACUUUGUUCAGACAGCGCUUUAGAACACAAGCAGCAAGUCAGGCGAUCACCCGAGUGAGCUUCCCUUGGUACUUCGUUUCCCAUUUUUGAUCUUUUCAGCCAGGAUGUGCUGGUUUUCUAGACAAAAAAGAUGCAGGAUGACUUAAUGAUCGCAGACUCUUCUUGAAGGACAUAAAAAAA
Long non-coding RNA from Oreochromis niloticus (Nile tilapia), 924 nucleotides. RefSeq lists it as uncharacterized. NCBI's taxonomy places the organism in Eukaryota, Metazoa, Chordata, Actinopteri, Cichliformes, Cichlidae. The transcript has 2 exons. The record is from RefSeq and is a predicted model, not a curated record.